AACGAACGCUGGCGGCAUGCCUAACACAUGCAAGUCGAACGAAGUCUUCGGACUUAGUGGCGCACGGGUGCGUAACGCGUGGGAAUCUGCCCUUGGGUACGGAAUAACUCAGAGAAAUUUGUGCUAAUACCGUAUAAUGUCUUCGGACCAAAGAUUUAUCGCCCAAGGAUGAGCCCGCGUAAGAUUAGCUAGUUGGUGGGGUAAAAGCCUACCAAGGCGACGAUCUUUAGCUGGUCUGAGAGGAUGAUCAGCCACACUGGGACUGAGGCACGGCCCAGACUCCUACGGGAGGCAGCAGUGGGGGAUAUUGGACAAUGGGCGAAAGCCUGAUCCAGCAAUGCCGCGUGAGUGAUGAAGGCCCUAGGGUUGUAAAGCUCUUUUACCAGGGAUGAUAAUGACAGUACCUGGAGAAUAAGCUCCGGCUAACUCCGUG
RNAcentral lists this ribosomal RNA (433 nucleotides) under uncultured bacterium. Its description in RNAcentral is "partial 16S ribosomal RNA". It matches the Rfam family "Bacterial small subunit ribosomal RNA", at positions 29 to 507 of the family's 1533-position model. The record is from RNAcentral.